CGGCCAUCCUGCUUGGCCAGCUGAAGGUUUGAGACUCAGGAUGGGGUCAUGGCUGAGACUAUGAGGGCUGCUCGUGCAUGACCCUGCCUGCUGGCCUCCAUGGGCCCACUAUCUGAAUGUGGUUACCCUUCUCCCCAGGACCAGGUGCCACCUCCUCUGGGAAGCUUUCCCUGCCCGUCCACAGGGUAUGCCUCCUUGUUCCUCUCCUGCCAUCGGUUUACGUGCCUGUCUCCAUCAACAGACCAGGAGCUCCUGAGGACAGGGACUGAGUCUGCCUGAUUCAUCUCUGCAUUCCUAGCACUUACCUUGGUGCUUAGUGAAAGCUCGAACCUGCCUGGGUUCCCACCUUGUCUCUGCUACCCCCAGCUCUGUGAACUCAGAGUCAUUUUUCUCUCCCCGAGUGGCACCGGGCUCAGCAGACACUCUGGCCAUGAAGGCAUCUUCUGACUCAAGCAGGCUGGAGUGCAAUGGCGUGAUCUCGGCUCACUGCAACCUCUGCCUCCCAGGUUCAAGCAAUUCUCCUGCCUCAGCCUCCCGAGUAGCUGGGAUUAUAGGCAUGCACCACCACGCCCAGAGCCAACUACUAAGCCUGUAGCAGCCUCCCAAACUGCCCAGUCUUGUUCAGAUGCACCUCCAGAAACACAGGGGUCCAAAAUGCCCCUUCCCAGACACCCUGAGGAGUAGAACAGUGCCAGCAGGCUCCAGGGAUGAGGGACUAGCUACCACAUUCCCUUUCCCAAGCCUCAGUUUCCCCACCUGUAAGAUGAGGGAUAUGGGCUCUGACUUUCUGAGUUUGGAAAAUAAAGUGCUCCCCAAACUGGG
Molecule: long non-coding RNA, 822 nt
Filed under: Homo sapiens (human)
Lineage: Eukaryota; Metazoa; Chordata; Mammalia; Primates; Hominidae
Description: HSALNT0318122
Source: RNAcentral